UCUCAAUGGUGCUCAUUCUUUCUUUGGUCAUAACUUCUCUCAUGGCCAUGACUGCCUCAGCUGGUAAUUUCUUUCAAGACUUUGAUGUAACAUUCGGCGAUCAGCGCGCUAAGAUACUAAAUGGAGGACAACUUCUCACACUCAACCUUGACAAGGCUUCUGGGUCUGGUUUCAAAUCCAAGAAUGAGUACUUAUUGGGCAGGAUUGACAUGCAGAUCAAGUUGGUCUCUGGCAACUCAGCUGGCACUGUCACUGCAUACUAUGUAAGAUAACUACUUUCAAUCCUACCCUUGUUCUUCAAUUAUUAUAUUAUUUUCAAUAGAUUUCCAUAAUUUCUUUGCUAAUUUAUGAAAUGAAACACAUGAAUAUAUGCAGUUAUCUUCUGAGGGUCCAACUCAUGAUGAGAUUGACUUCGAGUUUUUGGGAAACUUAUCUGGAGACCCCUACACUCUCCAUACCAAUGUUUUCAGCCAAGGAAAAGGAAACAGAGAACAACAAUUCCAUCUUUGGUUUGAUCCCACAGAGGCCUUCCACACCUAUUCAAUUGUCUGGAACAGCCAGAGGAUUAUGUAAGUAACACUCACCACCUUAUUGAAUUAAUAUGAUUUCUAUCAAACGCUUAACAUAAUUAACCUCUGCUAAUCAAUUACUUAAACAAAUUACUAAAACAUAUGCAACUGGUUAUUUAUAUGCAGAUUCUUAGUGGACAACAUUCCAAUCAGAGUGUUCACCAACUUGGAAACAAUUGGAGUUCCAUUUCCCAAAAACCAACCCAUGAGGAUUUACUCAAGCCUCUGGAAUGCUGAUGACUGGGCAACAAGAGGUGGACUUGUGAAGACUGACUGGACACAAGCUCCUUUCACUGCCUCUUACAGAAACUUCCAGGCCUCCACCACAUCUACUAACUCCUUAACAGAGCAGAGUGCAUGGCAGACUCAAGGGCUAGAUGCUGCAGGCCGAAACCGGCUUCGAUGGGUGCAACAAAAGUUCAUGGUCUACAACUACUGUUCUGACCUCAAACGCUUCCCACAAGGCCUCCCAGUUGAAUGCAGACGAUCGAGGUUCUAGUUUGAAAGAGAGAACAGAACCCAGAUGAUCACAUAUCCCCUGUUCUCUUGUGCAGCAUUCAUUUUUUGUGUUACUUAUUUUUAGUUAUGAAAUAUUCUUUCAUUCAUUAUGCAAAUAGAAAUUUUGUAACAAAUUAUUAAUAAGUUGAUUUUUUAAUUCUCCUGGUUUUUUUGUAUUCUUGAACAGAUUUGAAUUUUGGAACCAAGUUUUAAUAAUGAUCACAUGGUUCAAUAUCAUCUAAGAUAGCUUGACACAACUACAUUGUGGAAAACCACUUUGUUAGUACCAAAUAUUAGUGGGGCCCGUCCCAGAAGAGAGCCCAAAGAGUAAAGGUCCAGACUACUUGAGGAACUGGUCAAUAGACUUUUUAUUUUUUUAUUUUUAUUUUUUGGUUCAAUAGACUACAUUGGCAUUACCUCGCUUGAGGAGGUCCAAAAGAGAGGUAAGGCCAUCUCCAGCUAUGGGUUAUAUUUGUUAAUACAAAAUUCAUUUUUAGUCAUGGAUUAAAUAAAAUUAUGGCCACAUUUGGAAGUCACAUUUGGCCCUUUAGCCCUCCAACCAGGCCAAAUGUAGCUCAGUUUUGGCCUAGGUCAAAUUUAUAGUGGGCCUCAUCCAUGUGCUUUUCAACAACCAAUCAUUAAAGCACUCCUCACUCCCAUUUCUGAAAAUAAUAAAAUAUGAAGGACCCUAAAAUAUAGCCAUGCAUGGCUGGAGAUAGAAAAAUUUAGCCUUGCACUAUUCUAUAAAAAAAUUAAUAUUUUGGGGGGCUAAAUUUUUCACCCUGGACUACAUUUAGCCCUAUGGCUGGAGAUGGCCUAAAGGAAGGCUGCCCAUGCCUAAUCAGAGACCACGAGGCCAUGACCCAAGUGCACUAACCAACGUGCCUCUCUCUUAGAGGCCUGCACGUGGGAGUAACAAGCGUCAGAAUAAGCCCAUGUCAUAUUCCAUUGACGUAUGUUCUUCUCGAAAAAGGGAAAAGAUACACGUCAACUUGUCACCAAUGAGAUGAUGCCACGUCAUCGACAACUCAAUAGUCCCACAUAGGAAAAAGACAACUCAAAUGUCUCAUUCUCCUUAUAUUGAGUACUUUUCACCUAAAAAGGGAAUCUGAACUUUCUCCACACUUGAGUACAAUACUUUUAAAAGCCUCCUUUGAGGAAGAAAGACUGACUUAGGCAUCGGAGGGUGGUCAGUGAACCCACCAUAAACACACUUGACAAAGAAUCAAAGAACAAAACAUCAUACACUUCAUUAAUUAAUCAAGCAAUUAAAUGUUCUUAAACUCUUGUUUUGUUGUUCCACAAGUGGUAAUUAAGUUAAUCAACCAAUUGGGUGUUAGUUGGAUUGGUACAGGCCUUUGGUUUGGUCUGCUCCCAAAUGGUCCUGAGUUCAAGCCCCCAUGAUAUCUGUAUGUGUGAGUUUUUCACUUCCCUUCCUAAAUUUGAUAAUUAUGUUAAAUUAGUGCCAAAGUGAAAUUUUCAUUUCAAGUUGAUAAUGCUCUACUUGUAGUUGUAUAGCGUUCUUGUUCCUACUUAAAUGCCAUCUUUGGUGUUGGAAAUAUAGUGGAUGCAGGUUAUGGUUCCAUUAAAUAAAGUUAGUGUUUCAUAGCAUGUUAUAGCAACGUCUUUUUUUAGACUUUAUUUGCUUCCACAAGCGGUUUGCAAAGGGGAAAUAUAAAUAAAUCGUGUCGAUACAGUGAAUCCUAAUGAUAUGUUGAUGCUAGUAUGCGUCUUGCACAUGACCGACCAGUCGUGUAGUAGUGAACCUCCCCUUCUUAACUAUCAAGACAAUCCGAUCAGCAGUGGUGGAUCUGUUAAGGCGCAAGGAGAUGCAUAGAAAAAUCAUUAUAGAGACUCUGCUCAGCCUGGGAUGUGCACUCUAGGUGUUCGACGUAAAGCCUAAACGAAGUCAGUCUGCUGUUGUGUACGUUGUUGUGUUGUGCUGCGUUGUUGCACAGUGCGCUUGUUUUAUUUAUUUAUUAUUAUUUAUAAAUCUUGGUCAAAAAUUGCACCUCCGUUAAAAAAUUCAUGGGUCCGUCAAUGCCAACCAAUCACCGCUAUUAUCAUCAAUUUUUUAUUUUUUUUUGGAAUUUCAGUAAUGUUAUUAAUCUAAAUGUUGGUGCCUAGGUUCGUAUAUAAAUAUAUAGAUCACAUUUAUAUAUUACAUUGUGUAAAACCUCUCUAAUUGGUGGAUUCCACCUCUUUAGAGAUGGUACACAAGAGAAAUAAUUACAUCACCACCAACCUCAGCAAACGCUCAUGUACUUUUUAUUUUUGUCCAUUUAUAUGUACACCAAAUGCAAAAAAAGAACAAAUAAUAAUUAAAAAUGCUUCACAAGCUAAACUGUCUUCACAUAAACUAAUGUCCUGUUUCCUAUGUUGCUUCCUGCUUUCUUAUAAGCCUAAAAAUGCAAAACUGUCUCCAGCUCAGCAAAUUGGUGAGGCACCGCCUAACCCAAAUAAAGCCAGGCAGCUUCCAUAUGGAGCUAGGCUUGUCUAAUUUGCAAACCCUGUUGCCAGUUUUCAACUUAUUAUUCAGAUGCUGCCAGCUUUCCUGUUCAACGCGGCAUGUAUACUCUAAGCCCCCCCAACACUUAUAUAUAAAGAGCUUCACAGCUCAAAUGAUACCAUCAAACAAAAACAGCCUAAACUCAACACUCAUUUCUCUUUAAAGCUAAUUCUCUUCUCUUGCUAGCUCUGUCUACAAUCUCACCAAAUCAAAAUGCCUUUUUCUUCUUCUUGUUCUAAGGUCUCAAUGGUGCUUGUGGUUUCUUUGUUUGUAACUUCUCUGAUGGCCAUGGCCGCCUCAGCUGGUAAUUUCUUUCAAGACUUUGAUGUAACAUUCGGCGAUGAGCGUGCUAAGAUACUAAAUGGAGGACAGCUUCUCACACUUAACCUUGACAAGGCUUCUGGGUCUGGUUUCAAAUCCAAGAAUGAGUACUUAUUAGGCAGGAUUGACAUGCAGAUCAAGUUGGUCUCUGGCAACUCAGCU
RNAcentral lists this long non-coding RNA (4059 nucleotides) under Prunus persica (peach). RNAcentral describes it as "long non-coding RNA (PPER_LNC003761)". Lineage: Eukaryota; Viridiplantae; Streptophyta; Magnoliopsida; Rosales; Rosaceae. The record is from RNAcentral.